ACGUAAUAGAUACCCAGGUAGUCCACGCCCUAAACGAUGUCUACUAGUUGUUGGUGGAGUAAAAUCCAUGAGUAAACGCAGCUAAACGCGUGAAGUAGACCGCCUGGGGAGUACGGUCGCAAGAUUAAAAACUCAAAGGAAUUGACGGGGGCCCGCACAAGCGGUGGAUUAUGUGGAUUAAAUUCGAUGCAACGCGAAAAACCUUACCUGGCCUUGACAUGCCACUAACGAAGCAGAGAUGCAUUAGGUGCCCGUAAGGGAAAGUGGACACAGGUGCUGCAUGGCUGUCGUCAGCUCGUGUCGUGAGAUGUUGGGUUAAGUCCCGCAACGAGCGCAACCCUUGCCAUUAAUUGCCAUCAUUUAGUUGGGCACUUUAAUGGGACUGCCGGUGACAAACCGGAGGAAGGUGGGGAUGACGUCAAGUCCUCAUGGCCCUUAUGGCCAGGGCUUCACACGUAAUACAAUGGUCGGUACAGAGAGUUGCCAACCCGCGAGGGGAGCUAAUCUCAGAAAGCCGAUCGUAGUCCGGAUUGUUCUCUGC
RNAcentral lists this ribosomal RNA (541 nucleotides) under uncultured bacterium. RNAcentral describes it as "bacterial SSU rRNA". It matches the Rfam family "Bacterial small subunit ribosomal RNA", at positions 772 to 1308 of the family's 1533-position model. The record is from RNAcentral.